This is a long non-coding RNA of Suncus etruscus (white-toothed pygmy shrew), 155 nucleotides long. RefSeq lists it as uncharacterized. NCBI's taxonomy places the organism in Eukaryota, Metazoa, Chordata, Mammalia, Eulipotyphla, Soricidae. The record is from RefSeq and is a predicted model, not a curated record. The transcript has 2 exons.
AGUGGGUUUUUUUGGAGCUGGGGAUGGAACUGAGGGUGGUCAACUGACAUGCCCCUUAGUCCUUUCUGCAGCUGGUUCUUCCAAGAAAGCUGCAGGCUGGUGUAGAAGAGAAAAGUCCUGCAAAUAAAUCUAUUUGCUCCAGUUUAAAAAAAAAA